AUCUCUCUAGCUCUUUCCCUCUCUCUCAGGCUCUCUUGUUGUGCAGUGAUGCGGUGAAUAGACCCUUGGCUUGGCUCCAGAUUCUGCCGCUUAAUCGACACAAGAGAGAGAGGCCAGCAGGAUGAUGUGCUGCAUUAUUAAAAAAGCUGUUUUACCCGAGGGAAUGAUGGAAAGAAGCAGAGCAGGACAGAAAACAGAACGUGAAAAUACCUACACAAAAGGAACAGUCAUGACUGGAGAAUCUAUUAGAAUGCAGGUAAACAAGGAACAAAUGCACCAGUGAAUGGUGACUUACUGAAUGUACAAAGGAAGGAAACACAGGAUGUCAAAACAAGUGAAAUUGGGAAAAGUGUUCAGUAUCCAUGCAGACUAAACAAGUGGCUGCCAGCCCAUGAAAAGAGAAUUACCAAGAACCAAUAACAGCAACUUGAAUGGCAGAGUGGUGCAGCUGGAGAGGGGGAAGGGAGGGAUGCAGAAAAUGAGAUCAGGAUGAAAAAGAAAGACUGUUGGAAACCAAGACUGACUACUGAACAGUGGCCAGUGCAGAACUUCACACUUCCAGCUCUAGGACAUGAAACACAAAUCCAAGCCCACACACGUCUGGUUUACCUGCCUCUAUGCAAAGAAAGGUACAAUUAAUUAUAGUAUGCAUGUACUUGCUUGCAUUCUCUUCAGUUUCUUGGCAAAUAAACGCUGAGCAUGAAUCA
Long non-coding RNA from Sander lucioperca (pikeperch), 707 nucleotides. RefSeq lists it as uncharacterized. NCBI's taxonomy places the organism in Eukaryota, Metazoa, Chordata, Actinopteri, Perciformes, Percidae. The record is from RefSeq and is a predicted model, not a curated record. The transcript is spliced from 2 exons.